CCUACGGGAGGCAGCAGUGGGGAAUAUUGCGCAAUGGGCGAAAGCCUGACGCAGCGACGCCGCGUGAGGGAUGAAGGCCUUCGGGUUGUAAACCUCUUUCAGCAGGGACGAAAUCAGACGGUACCUGCAGAAGAAGCACCGGCCAACUACGUGCCAGCAGCCGCGGUAAUACGUAGGGUGCAAGCGUUGUCCGGAAUUAUUGGGCGUAAAGAGCUCGUAGGCGGUCUGUCGCGUCGGCUGUGAAAACUCGGGGCUCAACCCCGAGCCUGCAGUCGAUACGGGCAGACUAGAGUGCGGUAGGGGAGACUGGAAUUCCUGGUGUAGCGGUGAAAUGCGCAGAUAUCAGGAGGAACACCGGUGGCGAAGGCGGGUCUCUGGGCCGUAACUGACGCUGAGGAGCGAAAGCGUGGGGAGCAAACAGGAUUAGAUACCCUAGUAGU
This 440-nucleotide ribosomal RNA is filed under the name uncultured bacterium. Its description in RNAcentral is "bacterial SSU rRNA". It matches the Rfam family "Bacterial small subunit ribosomal RNA", at positions 338 to 794 of the family's 1533-position model. The record is from RNAcentral.